GCGAAGGUGGCGGAAUUGGUAGACGCGCUAGCUUCAGGUGUUAGUGUCCUUACGGACGUGGGGGGUUCAAGUCCCCCCCCCCCUCGCACCA
This 91-nucleotide transfer RNA is filed under the name Escherichia coli. RNAcentral's name for it is "tRNA-Leu". It matches the Rfam family "tRNA". From Rfam's summary of the family: Transfer RNA (tRNA) molecules are approximately 80 nucleotides in length. Their secondary structure includes four short double-helical elements and three loops (D, anti-codon, and T loops). The record is from RNAcentral. Lineage: Bacteria; Pseudomonadati; Pseudomonadota; Gammaproteobacteria; Enterobacterales; Enterobacteriaceae. RNAcentral also lists the same sequence under 1 other name.